RNAcentral lists this ribosomal RNA (288 nucleotides) under Nocardioides sp. April_TSA1F8. RNAcentral describes it as "partial 16S ribosomal RNA". It matches the Rfam family "Bacterial small subunit ribosomal RNA", at positions 1086 to 1372 of the family's 1533-position model. The record is from RNAcentral. Lineage: Bacteria; Bacillati; Actinomycetota; Actinomycetes; Propionibacteriales; Nocardioidaceae.
CCCGCAACGAGCGCAACCCUCGUUCUAUGUUGCCAGCACGUCAUGGUGGGGACUCAUAGGAGACUGCCGGGGUCAACUCGGAGGAAGGUGGGGAUGACGUCAAGUCAUCAUGCCCCUUAUGUCCAGGGCUUCACGCAUGCUACAAUGGCCGGUACAAAGGGCUGCGAUCCCGUGAGGGGGAGCGAAUCCCAAAAAGCCGGUCUCAGUUCGGAUUGGGGUCUGCAACUCGACCCCAUGAAGUCGGAGUCGCUAGUAAUCGCAGAUCAGCAACGCUGCGGUGAAUACGUU